This 621-nucleotide long non-coding RNA is filed under the name Olea europaea subsp. europaea. Lineage: Eukaryota; Viridiplantae; Streptophyta; Magnoliopsida; Lamiales; Oleaceae. The record is from RNAcentral.
CUCUAGAUGUGAUUGGGCCAAAUGUCUCAGCCAUCACAUCAAUUUAUAUAAAAUCUAAUUUACAUUACAUAUUACAUAUAAAAUCUAUCAAAUCCAGCGACUUUGAUGAAUCCCUUAUUUGUUGAGUGAUGGAACCAAAUGACAAUUAGCGUUUCGAAGUUGCCAAGCGUAACGUCAACCUUUUGUUGCUCCCAUACCAACCCCAUAGAAAAACGAGGAUCUGAAUCAACGGUGUGUGGUAUGUUUUCAACUUUUUGCUUAUUCUUGUUCGAACACAAAUUUGUAUUGCAAGUUGGUGAUCCAUUGUCUGUUUGAAUCUGGAACUGUCCCUUCAACAACAACAACAAUGGUUUACAAUUUUCUUUGUGGAUUGUUGUAGUCACCUACGGUUAGGGUUUUUAUAUGGAAUACGGAGCCCUAAUCAUGGCAAAAUGACGAUCUUAAUAUCGAUAUAUUGAAUGAAACAAAUGUAAAUCUGCUUCAUUAAUGUUUGGGAUGGUUUUUGGGAUUUCUUUGGGGGAGGAUUCGUGUCAAAUCAACGUUCACAAAAUAUGAAAGGGUUUAGGAUUUCGACUAUUGUCAAACGUAUAUUAAGGGCGUGUUUGGUGGAGGAAAUUAAGU